This is a non-coding RNA of Triticum aestivum (bread wheat), 126 nucleotides long. The record is from Rfam. NCBI's taxonomy places the organism in Eukaryota, Viridiplantae, Streptophyta, Magnoliopsida, Poales, Poaceae.
ACUGAAUUCCCUCCAUCCGGAAAUACUUGUCGGAGAAAUGGAUGUAUCUAGACGAUAUUUUAGUUCUAGAUACAUCCAUUUUUAUCUAUUUCUCCGACAAGUGUUUCCGGACGGAGGGAGUAUGUA